CCUACGGGAGGCAGCAGUGAGGAAUAUUGGUCAAUGGGCGGGAGCCUGAACCAGCCAAGUCGCGUGAGGGAAGACGGUCCUAUGGAUUGUAAACCUCUUUAGGCGGGGAGCAAGGCCGGGCACGCGUGCCCGGAGGGAGAGGACCCGCAGAAGAAGCAGCGGCUCACUCCGUGCCAGCAGCCGCGGUAAUACGGAGGAUGCGAGCGUUAUCCGGAUUGAUGGGGUUUAAAGGGUGCGUAGGCGGAUUUUUAAGUCAGCGGUAAACUGUCCGGGCUCAACCCGGGCCGGCCGUUGAAACUGGGGAUCUUGAGUGGGCGAGACGUAUGCGGAAUGCGUGGUGUAGCGGUGAAAUGCAUCGCUCUCACGCAGAACUCCGAUUGCGAAGGCAGCAUACCGGCGCCCGACUGACGCUGAGGCACGAAAGCGUGGGGAUCGAACAGGAUUAGAUACCCCAGUAGUC
Molecule: ribosomal RNA, 460 nt
Filed under: uncultured bacterium
Lineage: Bacteria
Description: partial 16S ribosomal RNA
Rfam family: Bacterial small subunit ribosomal RNA
Source: RNAcentral